Molecule: ribosomal RNA, 433 nt
Filed under: uncultured cyanobacterium
Lineage: Bacteria; Bacillati; Cyanobacteriota
Description: bacterial SSU rRNA
Rfam family: Bacterial small subunit ribosomal RNA
Source: RNAcentral
GAAUUUUCCGCAAUGGGCGAAAGCCUGACGCAGCAACGCCGCGUGGAGGAUGAAGGCCUUCGGGUCGUAAACUCCUGUCAGUGGGGACGAAUGCUUCGCAAGAAGUUUGACUGUACCCGCUGAGGAAGCCACGGCUAACUCCGUGCCAGCAGCCGCGGUAACACGGAGGUGGCAAGCGUUGUUCGGAAUUACUGGGCGUAAAGGGCGCGUAGGCGGCUUGGCAAGUCAGAUGUGAAAUCCCCGGGCUUAACUCGGGAAUUGCAUCUGAAACUGCUUUGCUUGAGUCCUGGAGGGGAUAGUGGAAUUCCCAGUGUAGCGGUGAAAUGCGUAGAUAUUGGGAGGAACACCAGAAGCGAAGGCGACGUUCUGGCAUCCAACUGACGCUAAGGCACGAAAGCUAGGGUAGCAAAAGGGAUUAGAUACCCCUGUAGUC